UCCGGUUUGUCACCGGCAGUCUCCUUAGAGUUCCCGCCAUUACGCGCUGGCAACUAAGGACAAGGGUUGCGCUCGUUACGGGACUUAACCCAACAUCUCACGACACGAGCUGACGACAGCCAUGCAGCACCUGUCACUUGGCUCCCGAAGGCACCAAAGCAUCUCUGCUAAGUUCCAAGGAUGUCAAGGCCUGGUAAGGUUCUUCGCGUUGCGUCGGAGGAAUUCCA
RNAcentral lists this unclassified non-coding RNA (227 nucleotides) under uncultured Cellvibrionales bacterium. Its description in RNAcentral is "contains 16S-23S intergenic spacer region". Lineage: Bacteria; Pseudomonadati; Pseudomonadota; Gammaproteobacteria; Cellvibrionales. The record is from RNAcentral.